Molecule: ribosomal RNA, 460 nt
Filed under: uncultured bacterium
Lineage: Bacteria
Description: partial 16S ribosomal RNA
Rfam family: Bacterial small subunit ribosomal RNA
Source: RNAcentral
CCUACGGGAGGCAGCAGUGAGGAAUAUUGGACAAUGGGCUUACGCCUGAACCAGCCAAGUCGCGUGAGGGAAGACUGCCCUAUGGGUUGUAAACCCCGUUUGUCAGGGAGCAAUUGGCGCUACGUGUAGCGUUAUCGAGAGUACCUGAAGAAAAAGCAUCGGCUAACUCCGUGCCAGCAGCCGCGGUAAUACGGAGGAUGCGAGCGUUAUCCGGAUUUAUUGGGUUUAAAGGGUGCGUAGGCGGCAUGCCAAGUCAGCGGUAAAAUCGCGGGGCUCAACCCCGCUCCGCCGUUGAUACUGGCGUUCUUGAGUGGGAGAGAGGUAUGCGGAAUGCGUGGUGAAGCGGUGAAAUGCGUAGAUAUCACGAAGAACUCCGAUUGCGAAGGCAGCAUACCGGCGCCCAACUGACGCUGAGGCACGAAAGCGUGGGUAGCGAACAGGAUUAGAUACCCCAGUAGUC